This 253-nucleotide ribosomal RNA is filed under the name uncultured bacterium. RNAcentral describes it as "partial 16S ribosomal RNA". It matches the Rfam family "Bacterial small subunit ribosomal RNA", at positions 524 to 776 of the family's 1533-position model. The record is from RNAcentral.
UACGUACCGGACAAACGUUAUUCGGAAUCACUGGGCUUAAAGAGUGCGUAGGCGGCCUCGCAGGUGAGGUGUGAAAGCCCACGGCCCAACCGUGGAAUUGCGCUUCAAACCGCAAGGCUUGAGGGAGACAGGGGUGAGCGGAACUGAUGGUGGAGCGGUGAAAUGCGUUGAUAUCAUCAGGAACACCUGUGGCGAAGGCGGCUCACUGGGUCUUUUCUGACGCUGAGGCACGAAAGCUAGGGGAGCGAACGGG